This is a long non-coding RNA of Dalotia coriaria, 1122 nucleotides long. RefSeq lists it as uncharacterized. The transcript has 7 exons. The record is from RefSeq and is a predicted model, not a curated record. NCBI's taxonomy places the organism in Eukaryota, Metazoa, Arthropoda, Insecta, Coleoptera, Staphylinidae.
UUCACGCGGCUCGUCGAAAUUCUACAGGUUGUAAUUCGCUAUAUGAUAUCAAAUUCCUGAUUAGUUAAUGAUUUAUUAGUAGUAGAACUUGUGCAGGAGUGUUCUAGCGGAUAUAAAAUUAUCUAUUUGCAAAACAAUUUAAUUUUAAUUGUGAUUUUUGUUGGUUUUAGGCGUCUAGGAGCUGAACCCGUCGGCACAGCGUCUUCAUUUUAACGUCAUAUUAUAGGCGUCUAGCAGCUGAACCCGUCGUCACAGCGUCUUCAUUUUGACGUCAUAUUGCGUCUAGCAGCUGAACUCGUCGUCACAGCGUCUUCAUUUUGACGUCAUAUUAUAGGCGUCUAGCAGCUGAACCCGUCGUCACAGCGUCUUCAUUUUGACGUCAUAUUAUAGGCGUUUAGCAGCUGAACCCGUCGUCACAGCAUCGUUAUUUUGAUGUCAUGUUAUAGGCGUCUAGCAGCUGAACCCGUCGUCACAGCGUCUUCAUUUUGACGUCAUAUUAUAGGCAUCUAGCAGCUGAAUAUUGUAAGUACUUAUUCCAGACUGACAAUAAUCUUGUCAGUGUGUUCCUUUUGUUUCAAAUAAUUUAUUAAAUUUAUGUUAAAAUUUACUUGGGUUGCAAAAUAAUUUUUGUGAGUAGUUUUCUUGGCAGCCGCGAAACUGAACUUUUUGCUUUGUUCAUCUUGUCUCUCAACAGUCUCAACUCUCUUCCCUACUUAGUGGGCCGUGCGUUGUUGCGGGAUGCGCAUGUGUUUUAUUCGUCUGUCGACAUUCGUGGCAUUCGGUGCCGACAUUACAGUGACAUUACAUUCGGUGGAUUGUCGACGGCGUGUGGUAAUUACGGAAUAAUGUGUAAUUAUUGCGCGUAAAAUUCAGGAUUAAGAUUUAGGAGCGCGCCUGUCUUCUGUCGGAUAUCUUUCGGUGAUAUUGAAUUUCCAUUGGAUUUAUUAUUUCAUGAUUUGUUAGACACAUUUCGGCUGUGUAGCACCUUCAGUCAUUGUAACUAAGUAAAUAAGAUGAAAUAAGGUAAUAUGUUGAAAUCAUAAUUUAAUUCCACUUAAUACUUUUCAAAUUUAUUAUAUUUUGAUUUGCAUUUUUAUUGAAAUAAAAUAAUAGUUGACAUAA